CAGACUCCUACGGGAGGCAGCAGUAGGGAAUCUUCCGCAAUGGACGAAAGUCUGACGGAGCAACGCCGCGUGAGUGAUGAAGGUUUUCGGAUCGUAAAGCUCUGUUGUUAGGGAAGAACAAGUGCCGUUCAAAUAGGGCGGCACCUUGACGGUACCUAACCAGAAAGCCACGGCUAACUACGUGCCAGCAGCCGCGGUAAUACGUAGGUGGCAAGCGUUGUCCGGAAUUAUUGGGCGUAAAGGGCUCGCAGGCGGUUUCUUAAGUGUGAUGUGAAAGCCCCCGGCUCAACCGGGGAGGGUCAUUGGAAACUGGGGAACUUGAGUGCAGAAGAGGAGAGUGGAAUUCCACGUGUAGCGGUGAAAUGCGUAGAGAUGUGGAGGAACACCAGUGGCGAAGGCGACUCUCUGGUCUGUAACUGACGCUGAGGAGCGAAAGCGUGGGGAGCGAACAGGAUUAGAUACCCUGGUAGUCCACGCCGUAAACGAUGAGUGCUAAGUGUUAGGGGGUUUCCGCCCCUUAGUGCUGCAGCU
This 531-nucleotide ribosomal RNA is filed under the name Bacillus amyloliquefaciens. Its description in RNAcentral is "bacterial SSU rRNA". It matches the Rfam family "Bacterial small subunit ribosomal RNA", at positions 332 to 853 of the family's 1533-position model. Lineage: Bacteria; Bacillati; Bacillota; Bacilli; Caryophanales; Bacillaceae. The record is from RNAcentral.